Molecule: ribosomal RNA, 400 nt
Filed under: uncultured bacterium
Lineage: Bacteria
Description: bacterial SSU rRNA
Rfam family: Bacterial small subunit ribosomal RNA
Source: RNAcentral
GGGGAAUAUUGCGCAAUGGGGGAAACCCUGACGCAGCAACGCCGCGUGGGUGAUGAAGGUCUUCGGAUUGUAAAGCCCUGUUUUCUGGGACGAUAAUGACGGUACCAGAGGAGGAAGCCACGGCUAACUACGUGCCAGCAGCCGCGGUAAUACGUAGGUGGCGAGCGUUGUCCGGAUUUACUGGGCGUAAAGGGUGCGUAGGCGGAUGUUUAAGUGGGAUGUGAAAUCCCCGGGCUUAACCUGGGGGCUGCAUUCCAAACUGGAUAUCUAGAGUGCAGGAGAGGAAAGUGGAAUUCCUAGUGUAGCGGUGAAAUGCGUAGAGAUUAGGAAGAACACCAGUGGCGAAGGCGGCCUACUGGGCUUUAACUGACGCUGAAGCACGAAAGCAUGGGUAGCAAAC